Molecule: transfer RNA, 71 nt
Filed under: Cricetulus griseus (Chinese hamster)
Lineage: Eukaryota; Metazoa; Chordata; Mammalia; Rodentia; Cricetidae
Rfam family: tRNA
About the family: Transfer RNA (tRNA) molecules are approximately 80 nucleotides in length. Their secondary structure includes four short double-helical elements and three loops (D, anti-codon, and T loops). Further hydrogen bonds mediate the characteristic L-shaped molecular structure. tRNAs have two regions of fundamental functional importance: the anti-codon, which is responsible for specific mRNA codon recognition, and the 3' end, to which the tRNAs corresponding amino acid is attached (by aminoacyl-tRNA synthetases). tRNAs cope with the degeneracy of the genetic code in two manners: having more than one tRNA (with a specific anti-codon) for a particular amino acid; and 'wobble' base-pairing, i.e. permitting non-standard base-pairing at the 3rd anti-codon position.
Source: Rfam by way of RNAcentral
GGGAAAUGGCUCAGUCAGUAAAGUGUGUGCCUUGAAAGCAUGAGGACCUGGGUUCACAUUCCCAGCACCCA